AGAUUUUUGCGAACUUGAAACUUGAUUUUGGAGACGUGUAUGAAGCGGAAAAGGUCAGCAGACAGGUGGACGUGAUCCUUAGAAGCUCUACCAGCCGCACUUGACAGCGCUCCAGUUGUUCCGGAGCCUCACUCCAGCGGUACUAUUUUAUGCAUAUACAUUCGGGCUUGGUAGCACCCCGGCCCUUUCUAUGUAUAAGUGUACUAUGUCUAGAGGCUCGUAGACAGAUACGUACAGUCAGUCAGGUACAGAUAUAUGUAUAGUGUUUUGGCAUGUUAAUAUUGUUGUACAAGGUAAUAA
This is a long non-coding RNA of Lycium barbarum (goji berry), 300 nucleotides long. RefSeq lists it as uncharacterized. Lineage: Eukaryota; Viridiplantae; Streptophyta; Magnoliopsida; Solanales; Solanaceae. The record is from RefSeq and is a predicted model, not a curated record. The transcript has 2 exons.